This 1278-nucleotide long non-coding RNA is filed under the name Homo sapiens (human). RNAcentral describes it as "HSALNT0043695". Lineage: Eukaryota; Metazoa; Chordata; Mammalia; Primates; Hominidae. The record is from RNAcentral.
AGAUUUUCAGGAAACUAGAUAUUCUGUCUGGGUAGAUUUAACUCUCACUGUUCUAGAAAUACUCCCAUUAGCCUAUGAUCUUUGCUUUGGCAUGGAGUCUGAUGACACAUUGAUACCAUUUUCUGCCUGUUAACCUACCAAAGGACACAAAACCCUCUUCAUUUCCCUAGAAGUACAUGUAAUAUUUCAAAAUGUAUCACGGGGCACAGCCAUCCCAGGAAAAAGAUGUAAGGUAAUGAGAUAACGUGAAGAAUUCUAGGCACUGAAACUCAAUUCUGGUGGUGAUUUUAGUCUGAGGAAACACAACAAAGGCCAAGAAGAAUGGGAUCGUCAUGACUGGCUGGGAAAUGAAUCAUGGGCAGCCCAGACGCAGGGCUUUGAUCAGUCCAGCUUCCUCCUCCUAAGAAGUUUCCACCAGAACAUUGCUUGGUGACAUAGUGGUCUUCACCCUGAGCGUCUACAAAUGUAUGUUAAGUUGCUAUUAAGGACCUGUGGACAGAGAAGGCACACCACCACAGUGGUCUGGAACCAAACCCCUGAUAUUUCUAUGAUGUGCCUGUAGAUUGAGGAGGCAGUAGCAGCACUGGGAGCUGGUCCUCUCAGCACCGACAGCAAGCCCCACAGCACCACUGUUGGGUUUUGGCAUGAUCAGCAACCAGGAAUAUUCCCACAACCAUCCCAGCCAGGAGGGGAAAUGGGGUCGUCACCCAGUGUGCAGAACAUAUAAAGACAUCCCUUGGGAACCUCAAAAUUGGAACGGAGAUGGGCCAGAGAAAUACAUUUGUGACUACGUCUGUGACCUGAAUUUUUCCUACCACAGUAUGUGACUCCUCAGCUUCUGACUAAUGGGGUACAGGGGAUGCUACCACAAAAUAUGGCAGCUUGGCAUACUGGGUUUUUUAACCUGAAUUAAAUUGAGAAAACUGUAGAGGCAAGAAAGUCACUCUACCUUCUCCUGCCUUUUUCCCAUGGAACAUGGCUGUAAAAGAAUUUUCUGACCUACUUUGCCUGAAAAUAAGUCCUAAGACCCUCAUUCCAGAGGGGUCCUGCCCUAUACCUGGAGACCAAGAAGAAUCUGAACAAACAGGCCUUCCUAAAUUCUCCACAGCUUAUUACCAUCACAUCCUUUUGUCCUCCAAUCACACUUCUGUACAAGUGACCAUAAAAAUACAGUUUUCCCUGGGCCUUUGGGUCUUCAUUUCUAAAGGCUCCCAUGUCAUGUAAAACUUUGGUUAAAUACAUUUGUUUUGCCUUUGUCCUGUUAAUCUGUCUUUUGUU